CCUACGGGAGGCAGCAGUGAGGAAUAUUGGUCAAUGGGCGCGAGCCUGAACCAGCCAAGUCGCGUGAGGGAAGACGGUCCUAUGGAUUGUAAACCUCUUUUGUCGGGGAGCAAAAGACGCCACGCGUGGCGUUCCGAGAGUACCCGUAGAAAAAGCAUCGGCUAAAUCCGUGCCAGCAGCCGCGGUAAUCCGGAGGAUGCGAGCGUUAUCCGGAUUUAUUGGGUUUUAAGGGUGCGCAGGCGGAAGAUCAAGUCAGCGGUAAAAUUGAGGGGCUCAACCUCUUCGAGCCGUUGAAACUGGUGUUCUUGAGUGGGCGAGAAGUAUGCGGAAUGCGUGGUGUAGCGGUGAAAUGCAUAGAUAUCACGCAGAACUCCGAUUGCGAAGGCAGCAUACCGGCGCUCAACUGACGCUGAUGCACGAAAGUGUGGGUAUCGAACAGGAUUAGAUACCCGUGUAGUC
This 459-nucleotide ribosomal RNA is filed under the name uncultured bacterium. RNAcentral's name for it is "partial 16S ribosomal RNA". It matches the Rfam family "Bacterial small subunit ribosomal RNA", at positions 338 to 795 of the family's 1533-position model. The record is from RNAcentral.